AGGAGUCAGUCAGUCCAUCUUGCUGCUGAUUCAGAUGGGAGAGAUGGAGGAUGGGAGCUGUCAACAGUGGCAACGAUAUGACUGGGUUGGUGAUCAUCUGGGAAUGGUUUAGCAAGGCUGGAAUCAGUCAGAUUUAUCUUUGUGAAGGAUGCAAGAAUCAAGGACAAUGCUCCACGUCACACAGACAGGUCAAUGAAUGUCUGGAUACAGAACCAUCAGAUCAAGACCCUGUCAUGGCAAGUGUCUAAAGGAGUAAGGGAUGCACACAGGAAGAAGUGCACAAAUCUGAAGACCCAGGAUUUCCACUUUGGAUCAACACGAACAUGGAACAACAAGCACAAGAAAUUUUAACCAGCAGUGAAAUGAGAAAAUGUUCUUACUGAUGAUUAUUAUAAACACUUUUUUAAACGCUUAAACUGGUGGAUUAUUGUUAAUGACAGAAGAAAAGUUUAUCAUCACUUUAAGGCCGGUAGCUGGAGAGACUGUUAGAACUGCUUUAUUAUAAAUAUAUUGUAACUAAACGUUUAACAUAUGCAGGUGCUAUAUAAAACUAAACAGAGGCUCUUUAUUUCGCGCUGGAUAAUUUGAAUAACUUAAAGCCUGAACUUGGUGUGUAUUUAGGUGCAAAAAGCAAAAAGCAGUCUGUAUGGGCUCAGAGGAAAUUCGCUGAUUUCAGGUUUGAUCUGAUAGGCGCAAUGCUUUUGACUGACACUUGUUUUGCUUAACAUUGGCCUCAUUGUGGGGCCGCGGCUCUUCUUUCGGGAUCGAGUUGCGCAGUUGCGGUAAAGGCGAGAUGAGCAGCUCGGUUAGCCGGUCAGACGCGGCUUUUUGGGAGCUCAGAGAGCCACCGGAGGAGCUUCGUGCUUUUUUCAACCUAUGCAGAUCUUUAUCCCUCUUCCCCCGUAGAGCUGAACUUUAACCCGACCACUACUGCGCCUGAAAGAGAAACCUUAACGAUAAGUAGAAGAGCUGCGCACUCCAGUCUUUUAAGUUUUGAGUCUAUAAGGUUGGGAUAUAGCUGCGUCCCAAAUCACCCGAACAGGGUAGAGGAGCUAAAAACUACCACUCCUUAAAAACAACUAUUAAUUUAACAGCACUCAUCCACAUUUCCAGCAAACACAACAGUGGUUACAACUUUGUUACAGCAACUUUCGUUAUUUGCAAAGUUGUGUAAAUGUUUAUAGAAGUUUAAAAUAAAACACUUCAAGCAACACGUUUUCAGAUGACCGUUUUACCAGUUUUUAUCAGAAAGCAAACAUGUAAAUGUAAUUUAUUUAAACGUUUUAUUAUUCAAUAGCAAUGAGCCUAUUAAACGUGGAACUGUUCAGGAAAAUAUGAACUGCAGCAGUCACCUGUUUGAAAUCAAAUUUUACGGAGAAAAUACCAUGUUUACCACCUGUCUGUGUGCACGAUUUUUCUUUUAAACUCAUAAUUCGUUACACAAGUUCUCUACAUAGUCUGAUAUGCUCUUCACACUAAGAUAACACCAUAAACAAUAUUUAUAUUCACUUAAAUAUAAGUAAAAAGCAUUUCAUAUAAGAGAUUUAAAUGAAAAUCAAUUACAUGUUCCACAACCACACUG
Trichomycterus rosablanca is the source of this 1582-nucleotide long non-coding RNA. RefSeq lists it as uncharacterized. The record is from RefSeq and is a predicted model, not a curated record. NCBI's taxonomy places the organism in Eukaryota, Metazoa, Chordata, Actinopteri, Siluriformes, Trichomycteridae. The transcript has 4 exons.